This 201-nucleotide ribosomal RNA is filed under the name Triticum aestivum (bread wheat). RNAcentral's name for it is "partial small subunit ribosomal RNA". The record is from RNAcentral. Lineage: Eukaryota; Viridiplantae; Streptophyta; Magnoliopsida; Poales; Poaceae.
AUGGGGAGGGCCGUCGCUACCAUGUCUCCCCUCCAGAUGGCCUUCUUGCGACGACCAGCUGCUGGCGAUUUGGCCGUGACGGUGAGCCCAACCUCGGAUCUGUCCAUGACGGUUAACCCCCGGAUCUGUCUCCAUCUUCCUCCCCCUCCAUUAGUUGCUGGCCGUGACGGUGAGCCCAACCUCGAAGAGGAAGGAGCAUGA